Molecule: long non-coding RNA, 544 nt
Organism: Anas platyrhynchos (mallard)
Lineage: Eukaryota; Metazoa; Chordata; Aves; Anseriformes; Anatidae
Source: RefSeq, a predicted model, not a curated record
AUGGGUGCCCUAAGCUGCUUCACCUGAGUCCCUCAUCCCCAGAGGUCCCCCUGGGAGCUGUGUCUCCUGCUCUUGGCUUCAUUUGGACUUGCCUCGGAAACUGGGCUGUUGCUGACCCUGGCUGUGACUCCCAGACCUGUUCAACAUUUGCCCAGAACACACCCAAGGCACAAAUGGCAGAUGCAUUCCACAUUUGCUGUCCUCAAAAUGAAGCAAGGAGUUCCAUGUGGAAGUUAAGGGUCGUCACGAUGCAACAGAUGGAGCUGAGGGUUGACCAUCAAGAAACAAUUCCUGCAAAACCCAGAAGGCGGUGGGAGGAGGAGUGAUAUUUGGAAGGCUGUUUGGCUCGAUGACAGGAGGGUUUUUAUGUUCCAGGGCUGACCUGUAGUUGUGCGAGUCCUGCCUGAUCAAAACUGAGAGUUGGGCUAUAUUUAUGGCUUAAGCAUAUUUAUUACUUGCUUGUAGUAGUUUUUUUUUUCCAAAGUUUUUCAUCACUGCUGUCACUGAUGGUGCUGUGCUAAUAAAUAUAUUCAUGUAGAGAGAC